RNAcentral lists this ribosomal RNA (1378 nucleotides) under Curtobacterium sp. Its description in RNAcentral is "bacterial SSU rRNA". It matches the Rfam family "Bacterial small subunit ribosomal RNA". Lineage: Bacteria; Bacillati; Actinomycetota; Actinomycetes; Micrococcales; Microbacteriaceae. The record is from RNAcentral.
ACGAUGAUGCCCAGCUUGCUGGGUGGAUUAGUGGCGAACGGGUGAGUAACACGUGAGUAACCUGCCCCUGACUCUGGGAUAAGCGUUGGAAACGACGUCUAAUACUGGAUAUGAUCACUGGCCGCAUGGUCUGGUGGUGGAAAGAUUUUUUGGUUGGGGAUGGACUCGCGGCCUAUCAGCUUGUUGGUGAGGUAAUGGCUCACCAAGGCGACGACGGGUAGCCGGCCUGAGAGGGUGACCGGCCACACUGGGACUGAGACACGGCCCAGACUCCUACGGGAGGCAGCAGUGGGGAAUAUUGCACAAUGGGCGAAAGCCUGAUGCAGCAACGCCGCGUGAGGGAUGACGGCCUUCGGGUUGUAAACCUCUUUUAGUAGGGAAGAAGCGAAAGUGACGGUACCUGCAGAAAAAGCACCGGCUAACUACGUGCCAGCAGCCGCGGUAAUACGUAGGGUGCAAGCGUUGUCCGGAAUUAUUGGGCGUAAAGAGCUCGUAGGCGGUUUGUCGCGUCUGCUGUGAAAUCCCGAGGCUCAACCUCGGGCUUGCAGUGGGUACGGGCAGACUAGAGUGCGGUAGGGGAGAUUGGAAUUCCUGGUGUAGCGGUGGAAUGCGCAGAUAUCAGGAGGAACACCGAUGGCGAAGGCAGAUCUCUGGGCCGUAACUGACGCUGAGGAGCGAAAGCAUGGGGAGCGAACAGGAUUAGAUACCCUGGUAGUCCAUGCCGUAAACGUUGGGCGCUAGAUGUAGGGACCUUUCCACGGUUUCUGUGUCGUAGCUAACGCAUUAAGCGCCCCGCCUGGGGAGUACGGCCGCAAGGCUAAAACUCAAAGGAAUUGACGGGGGCCCGCACAAGCGGCGGAGCAUGCGGAUUAAUUCGAUGCAACGCGAAGAACCUUACCAAGGCUUGACAUACACCGGAAACGGCCAGAGAUGGUCGCCCCCUUGUGGUCGGUGUACAGGUGGUGCAUGGUUGUCGUCAGCUCGUGUCGUGAGAUGUUGGGUUAAGUCCCGCAACGAGCGCAACCCUCGUUCUAUGUUGCCAGCGGGUUAUGCCGGGGACUCAUAGGAGACUGCCGGGGUCAACUCGGAGGAAGGUGGGGAUGACGUCAAAUCAUCAUGCCCCUUAUGUCUUGGGCUUCACGCAUGCUACAAUGGCCGGUACAAAGGGCUGCGAUACCGUAAGGUGGAGCGAAUCCCAAAAAGCCGGUCUCAGUUCGGAUUGAGGUCUGCAACUCGACCUCAUGAAGUCGGAGUCGCUAGUAAUCGCAGAUCAGCAACGCUGCGGUGAAUACGUUCCCGGGCCUUGUACACACCGCCCGUCAAGUCAUGAAAGUCGGUAACACCCGAAGCCGGUGGCCUAACCCUUGUGGAAGGAGCC